This 413-nucleotide ribosomal RNA is filed under the name Methanoculleus sp. enrichment culture. Its description in RNAcentral is "bacterial SSU rRNA". It matches the Rfam family "Archaeal small subunit ribosomal RNA", at positions 330 to 747 of the family's 1478-position model. The record is from RNAcentral. Lineage: Archaea; Methanobacteriati; Methanobacteriota; Methanomicrobia; Methanomicrobiales; Methanomicrobiaceae.
GUGCACCAGGCGAGAAAACUUUACAAUGCGGGAAACCGUGAUAAGGGAACCCCGAGUGCCUGUAUAUGCAGGCUGUCCAGGUGUCUAAAAAACACCUGAAGAAAGGGCCGGGCAAGACCGGUGCCAGCCGCCGCGGUAAUACCGGCGGCUCGAGUGGUGGCCACUUUUAUUGGGCUUAAAGCGUUCGUAGCUGGGUUGUUAAGUCUCUUGGGAAAUCUGACGGCUCAACCGUCAGGCGUCCAAGGGAUACUGGCAAUCUUGGAACCGGGAGAGGUGAGGGGUACUUCGGGGGUAGGAGUGAAAUCCUGUAAUCCUCGAGGGACCACCUGUGGCGAAGGCGCCUCACCAGAACGGCUUCGACAGUGAGGGACGAAAGCUGGGGGAGCAAACCGGAUUAGAUACCCUCGUAGUCC